UACGAAGGGGGCUAGCGUUGCUCGGAAUCACUGGGCGUAAAGCGCACGUAGGCGGAUUGUUAAGUCAGGGGUGAAAUCCUGGAGCUCAACUCCAGAACUGCCUUUGAUACUGGCGAUCUCGAGUCCGGGAGAGGUGAGUGGAACUGCUAGUGUAGAGGUGAAAUUCGUAGAUAUUCGCAAGAACACCAGUGGCGAAGGCGGCUCACUGGCCCGGUACUGACGCUGAGGUGCGAAAGCGUGGGGAGCAAACAGG
Molecule: ribosomal RNA, 253 nt
Filed under: uncultured bacterium
Lineage: Bacteria
Description: partial 16S ribosomal RNA
Rfam family: Bacterial small subunit ribosomal RNA
Source: RNAcentral